Molecule: transfer RNA, 67 nt
Filed under: Marmota monax (woodchuck)
Lineage: Eukaryota; Metazoa; Chordata; Mammalia; Rodentia; Sciuridae
Description: tRNA.Val
Source: RNAcentral
GGAUUGUGGCUCAGCGGUAGAGCGCUCGCCUCACACGGGCAGGACCUGGGUUCGAUCCUCAGCACCA